AGAGUUUGAUCAUGGCUCAGGACGAACGCUGGCGGCGCGCUUAACACAUGCAAGUCGAGCGAGAACCAGGCCUUCGGGCCUGGGGACAGCGGCGAACGGGUGAGUAACACGUGGGUAAUCAACCCUCGAUACUGGGAUAGCCCGGGGAAACCCGGAUUAAUACCGGAUGGCCCUUUGGAUCUGUGGAUCUGAAGGAAAAGGUAGCUUCGGCCUCCGAUCGAGGACGAGCCCGCGGCGGAUUAGCUUGUUGGUGGGGUAAUGGCUCACCAAGGCGACGAUCCGUAGCUGGUCUGAGAGGACGAUCAGCCACACUGGGACUGAGACACGGCCCAGACUCCUACGGGAGGCAGCAGUGGGGAAUCUUGCGCUAAUGCGGGAAACCGUGACGCAGCGACGCCGCGUGAGGGAAGAAGGCCUUCGGGUUGCAAACCUCUUUCAGGAGGGACGAAGCCACUCGGGUUAAUAGCCCAGAGGGUGACGGUACCUCCAGAAGAAGCCCCGGCUAACUACGUGCCAGCAGCGGCGGUAAUAC
RNAcentral lists this ribosomal RNA (532 nucleotides) under uncultured bacterium. Its description in RNAcentral is "bacterial SSU rRNA". It matches the Rfam family "Bacterial small subunit ribosomal RNA", at positions 8 to 526 of the family's 1533-position model. The record is from RNAcentral.